GGUUCCACGGUGUAGUGGUCAUCAGAUCUGCUUGACAUGCAGAAAAUCCUGAGUUAGACUCCCAGUGGAGCCA
Canis lupus familiaris (dog) is the source of this 73-nucleotide non-coding RNA. Lineage: Eukaryota; Metazoa; Chordata; Mammalia; Carnivora; Canidae. The record is from Rfam.